RNAcentral lists this small RNA (485 nucleotides) under Malus domestica (apple). Lineage: Eukaryota; Viridiplantae; Streptophyta; Magnoliopsida; Rosales; Rosaceae. The record is from RNAcentral.
AUAAGGCAUUUUGGGAGCUCAUUGGCUUUGGGUUCCAUCGAAACUUCGAAGUUAAGCGAGUUCGUGUGAGAGCAAUUCCAUGAUGGGUGACCCACUGGGAAGUUCUCGUGUGAGUUCCUAGAAACAAAACCGUGAGGACGUGCUCGAGACCCAAAGCAAACAAUAUCAUGCUACGGCAGAGUCGAGCCCAAGAUGUCGUGGGGGCCCGGGCCGGGAUGUGAUAGAAUGGUAUCAGAGCUAAUCCCUGGCCGAAAGUGUGCCAACGAGGACGUCAGGCCCCUAAAGGGGGUGGAUUGUAACAUCCCACAUCGUCCGGGGAAGUAGAUCAUCUAUGCCUUAUAUGUAUAUUCUCAUUUCUACCUAGCACGAGGUCUUUUGGGAGCUCACUGGUUUGGGGUUCCAUCAGAACUUCGAAGUUAAGCGAGUUCGCGUGAGAGCAAUCCCAUGAUGUGUGACCCACUGGGAAGUUCUCAUGUGAGUUCUCA